Molecule: transfer RNA, 58 nt
Filed under: Capsicum annuum
Lineage: Eukaryota; Viridiplantae; Streptophyta; Magnoliopsida; Solanales; Solanaceae
Rfam family: tRNA
About the family: Transfer RNA (tRNA) molecules are approximately 80 nucleotides in length. Their secondary structure includes four short double-helical elements and three loops (D, anti-codon, and T loops). Further hydrogen bonds mediate the characteristic L-shaped molecular structure. tRNAs have two regions of fundamental functional importance: the anti-codon, which is responsible for specific mRNA codon recognition, and the 3' end, to which the tRNAs corresponding amino acid is attached (by aminoacyl-tRNA synthetases). tRNAs cope with the degeneracy of the genetic code in two manners: having more than one tRNA (with a specific anti-codon) for a particular amino acid; and 'wobble' base-pairing, i.e. permitting non-standard base-pairing at the 3rd anti-codon position.
Source: Rfam by way of RNAcentral
UAGCUCAUAUGUUAGAGCGCUCGCUUUGCAUGCGAGAGGUACGGGGUUCGAUUCCCCA